RNAcentral lists this ribosomal RNA (504 nucleotides) under uncultured bacterium. RNAcentral describes it as "bacterial SSU rRNA". It matches the Rfam family "Bacterial small subunit ribosomal RNA", at positions 9 to 526 of the family's 1533-position model. The record is from RNAcentral.
GAGUUUGAUCCUGGCUCAGGACGAACGCUGGCGGCGCGCCUAACACAUGCAAGUCGAACGAGCGAGAGAGAGCUUGCUUUCUCGAGCGAGUGGCGAACGGGUGAGUAACGCGUGAGGAACCUGCCUCAAAGAGGGGGACAACAGUUGGAAACGACUGCUAAUACCGCAUAAGCCCACGGCUCGGCAUCGAGCAGAGGGAAAAGGAGCAAUCCGCUUUGAGAUGGCCUCGCGUCCGAUUAGCUAGUUGGUGAGGUAAUGGCCCACCAAGGCGACGAUCGGUAGCCGGACUGAGAGGUUGAACGGCCACAUUGGGACUGAGACACGGCCCAGACUCCUACGGGAGGCAGCAGUGGGGAAUAUUGCACAAUGGGGGAAACCCUGAUGCAGCGACGCCGCGUGGAGGAAGAAGGUCUUCGGAUUGUAAACUCCUGUUGUUGAGGAAGAUAAUGACGGUACUCAACAAGGAAGUGACGGCUAACUACGUGCCAGCCGCCGCGGUAAUAC